AUACGUAGGGAGCGAGCGUUGUCCGGAAUUACUGGGUGUAAAGGGAGCGUAGGCGGGAGUGCAAGUCAGAUGUGCAAUACAUGGGCUCAACCCAUGGGCUGCAUUUGAAACUGCAUUUCUUGAGUGAAGUAGAGGUAAGCGGAAUUCCUGGUGUAGCGGUGAAAUGCGUAGAUAUCAGGAGGAACACCGGUGGCGAAGGCGGCUUACUGGGCUUUUACUGACGCUGAGGCUCGAAAGCGUGGGGAGCAAACAGGAUUAGAUACCCUGGUAGUCCACGCUGUAAACGAUGAUUACUAGGUGUGGGGGGACUGACCCCUUCCGUGCCGCAGUUAACACAAUAAGUAAUCCACCUGGGGAGUACGGCCGCAAGGUUGAAACUCAAAUGAAUUGACGGGG
This 396-nucleotide ribosomal RNA is filed under the name uncultured bacterium. RNAcentral describes it as "partial 16S ribosomal RNA". It matches the Rfam family "Bacterial small subunit ribosomal RNA", at positions 523 to 918 of the family's 1533-position model. The record is from RNAcentral.